This 1382-nucleotide ribosomal RNA is filed under the name metagenome. RNAcentral's name for it is "bacterial SSU rRNA". It matches the Rfam family "Bacterial small subunit ribosomal RNA". The record is from RNAcentral.
AGAGUUUGAUCCUGGCUCAGGAUGAACGCUGGCGGUAUGCUUAACACAUGCAAGUCGAACGGUGUCUUCGGACACAGUGGCGGACGGGUGAGUAACGCGUGAGAAUCUGCCUCUAGGUUGGGGACAACAGUUGGAAACGACUGCUAAUACCCAAUGUGCCGUCAGGUGAAAGAUUUAUUGCCUGGAGAGGAGCUCGCGUCUGAUUAGCUAGUUGGUGAGGUAAAAGCUUACCAAGGCAUCGAUCAGUAGCUGGUCUGAGAGGAUGAGCAGCCACACUGGGACUGAGACACGGCCCAGACUCCUACGGGAGGCAGCAGUGGGGAAUUUUCCGCAAUGGGCGAAAGCCUGACGGAGCAAUACCGCGUGAGGGAGGAAGGCCUUUGGGUUGUAAACCUCUUUUCUCAGGGAAGAAGAUCUGACGGUACCUGAGGAAUAAGCAUCGGCUAACUCCGUGCCAGCAGCCGCGGUAAUACGGAGGAUGCAAGCGUUAUCCGGAAUCAUUGGGCGUAAAGCGUCCGCAGGUGGUUUUUCAAGUCUGCUGUUAAAGACUGGAGCUCAACUCCGGAAAGGCAGUGGAAACUGAGAAACUAGAGUUCGGUAGGGGUAGCGGGAAUUCCCAGUGUAGCGGUGAAAUGCGUAGAUAUUGGGAAGAACAUCGGUGGCGAAGGCGCGCUACUGGACCGAAACUGACACUCAGGGACGAAAGCUAGGGUAGCGAAAGGGAUUAGAUACCCCUGUAGUCCUAGCUGUAAACGAUGGAAACUAGGUGUGGCUUGUAUCGACCCGAGCCGUGCCGUAGCUAACGCGUUAAGUUUCCCGCCUGGGGAGUACGCACGCAAGUGUGAAACUCAAAGGAAUUGACGGGGGCCCGCACAAGCGGUGGAGUAUGUGGUUUAAUUCGAUGCAACGCGAAGAACCUUACCAGGGCUUGACAUGUCGCGAAUCUUGGUGAAAGCUGAGAGUGCCUUCGGGAGCGCGAACACAGGUGGUGCAUGGCUGUCGUCAGCUCGUGUCGUGGGAUGUUGGGUUAAGUCCCGCAACGAGCGCAACCCUCGUCUUUAGUUGCCAGCAUUAAGUUGGGCACUUUAGAGAGACUGCCGGUGACAAACCGGAGGAAGGUGGGGAUGACGUCAAGUCAGCAUGCCCCUUACGCCCUGGGCUACACACGUACUACAAUGGUUGGGACAAAGGGCAGCAAACCCGCGAGGGUAAGCGAAUCUCAUCAAACCCAGCCUCAGUUCAGAUUGCAGGCUGCAACUCGCCUGCAUGAAGGAGGAAUCGCUAGUAAUCGCAGGUCAGCAUACUGCGGUGGAUUCGUUCCCGGGCCUUGUACACACCGCCCGUCACACCAUGGAAGCUGGUCACGCCCGAAGUAGUUACGC